UAAGUCGAGCCGGCAGAUGGGARCUUGGAMUCMCUGAAUSUCCWARCGGCGGACGGGUGAGUAACACGUGGGUAACCUGCCUGUAAGACUGGGAUAACUCCGGGAAACCGGGGCUAAUACCGGAUGGUUGUUUGAACCGCAUGGUUCAAACAUAAAAGGUGGCUUCGGCUACCACUUACAGAUGGACCCGCGGCGCAUUAGCUAGUUGGUGAGGUAACGGCUCACCAAGGCAACGAUGCGUAGCCGACCUGAGAGGGUGAUCGGCCACACUGGGACUGAGACACGGCCCAGACUCCUACGGGAGGCAGCAGUAGGGAAUCUUCCGCAAUGGACGAAAGUCUGACGGAGCAACGCCGCGUGAGUGAUGAAGGUUUUCGGAUCGUAAAGCUCUGUUGUUAGGGAAGAACAAGUACCGUUCGAAUAGGGCGGUACCUUGACGGUACCUAACCAGAAAGCCACGGCUAACUACGUGCCAGCAGCCGCGGUAAUACGUAGGUGGCAAGCGUUGUCCGGAAUUAUUGGGCGUAAAGGGCUCGCAGGCGGUUCUAMSYCACCCCUGAUGAACWGAAAGCMMYYGGCWMARMSGGGGAGGGUCAUUGGAAACUGGAA
This 609-nucleotide ribosomal RNA is filed under the name Bacillus subtilis. Its description in RNAcentral is "partial 16S ribosomal RNA". It matches the Rfam family "Bacterial small subunit ribosomal RNA", at positions 58 to 640 of the family's 1533-position model. The record is from RNAcentral. Lineage: Bacteria; Bacillati; Bacillota; Bacilli; Caryophanales; Bacillaceae.